UUUGGCACAUGAGUAUGUACACCUGAACUAUGCAAAUCUUUGUGAUCAGAUCUAUCGUGACAAUUUUUUACAUAUCACAAGUGAAAAAAAAUUUCGGCAUCAUAGCAUGCAUAAUAUUUAAAUACACAACAUACAAUGGGAACAGACCGAUGUAUGCAAAAGUUAAACAGUUUUUGGGACACAAAACACAGGUACUCCUAACGCACAUAAUCAAAGGUGAAAUUGUUUAUUACGCUCGUUGAACAGCCAUUGAAUCCACUCAAAUUUCUCAUCUGCGUCUUUCAUGACGGCGAACAUGUCCGCUUCUCGCUAGAACUACACAUGUAAAAAAGUAGAGCGGUGUCCGCCGCUGAAGAUGUCAUGUUGCCAACAACUCUUUGACAUAGGCAGUGCCAAUGUUCUCAUUUGAGGUCAUCAUGGUUUUAAUGUUUGCCGCCACUUCCUCCACGGCACUAGUGGCCCGAUCAACAGAGAAAGACAGCUCUCUCGUAGAUAUUUUUUUCUUCUUCCCCAGUCGCUUGCCACUGGAGGACUUCCUUUUUGCGCCGCUUGUGGUGCUAGAGACAUUCACGUUGGAGCUGAUGGGAAUUUUCUCUGCAUCAUCACUUGAACCACUACUCUCAUCGUCGAUUGGGAUUGCAUUACGGUGGUCUUCCAGCACGCUAUCCUCGAAUAGCUAGAACCCCGUUCGACACAACUUUGUCAAAGUGACUGCGUACUUCGCCCACCGUAACUGUCCCCGAAUAGUUGACGAUAGUGAAUGUAGAUUUCAUUCACGUCCUUGUCCUUGUAGUCUUUAUUUUCCUAUGACCAAGGGUUAAAAAUGAAGACAUGUAAAUGAAAAAUCGGAAUGUGCAAGAAAAAAUAAUCGCAACAGUCAAGCAAUAUUGCUCAUAAGCACAAGAAAAUAGUACAUCGUUAGUUAUUUCCACAAUGCGAUUUCGUAGAUGUCGACAUGCGUUAAUGAAAAACAGUAAAGGAAAAUAGAUAUUAACAGCACUAUCUCAAUCUUUCGUUUCCACCACUCCUCCGAUGCAACGACUCGAUCGAUGGAUUCGUUGUACGCAACCCCGCUGGAAUUUAACAACUCGGAGAGAUGUCUGUAGGUUCGACGCAUGUGUCCUAGUGGUUGCAUAGUUGCUGCUUGUUCCAGUUGUGGCCAGUGAUUGAGUUGAACAGUGACGAGAUUCAUUCUCAGCCGUGUUUCAUAAAACAACGAUCGUUGCGAUGGCGCUCAGCAAUGGCGGUUUCACACGCCGCCAUGCAUGUUUAGGUCUCUGAUACAUUCCACUGAGGAUAAGAUUUUGACCUCGAGGCUCGACCUAGCUCCUGUGUAGCAAACGAGUUAGGCAGUGGAUUAUGUCCUAACGGCAAAGGUAAGUGGGGCAUGAACAAUGAGAAAACACUGGUAUAGACAUUAUAACAACAAGUAGGGAAUUUAGUUCUCUAGCUCAUGGGAAAUGAGCAGGCAAGUUCCAUUCAUAUUAACCUCAAUCUCGCAAUCACUAGUAGAGUGCCACAAUUUACGUUAUUUUCAAUGUAGUGGGCAACUAAAACCAAGUGUUUGCAGUUAGAUGCAACGCAAUCAGAAGACACUAAUAUGUCAUAGCAAAUCAAUAAUAUCUUGUAAUACAGGGGCAUAGUUCUAUUGAUCAACAUGUCGUUGCAUUCACAUAAUUUUGAAGCCUCAUUUUACUGCGAUAAUAUUUUUACUACUUCAUGAAAAAACCAUAUAUUUUGUCCACAUAAUACUGGUAUGAGCGCCUGUGUCUCACUCAAAUUUUAUAGGAGCUUGC
RNAcentral lists this long non-coding RNA (1796 nucleotides) under Olea europaea subsp. europaea. The record is from RNAcentral. Lineage: Eukaryota; Viridiplantae; Streptophyta; Magnoliopsida; Lamiales; Oleaceae.